RNAcentral lists this ribosomal RNA (404 nucleotides) under Verrucomicrobiota bacterium. RNAcentral's name for it is "Verrucomicrobia bacterium partial 16S ribosomal RNA". It matches the Rfam family "Bacterial small subunit ribosomal RNA", at positions 355 to 776 of the family's 1533-position model. Lineage: Bacteria; Pseudomonadati; Verrucomicrobiota. The record is from RNAcentral.
UGGGGAAUAUUGCACAAUGGGCGCAAGCCUGAUGCAGCAACGCCGCGUGAACGAUGAAGGUCUUCGGAUCGUAAAGUUCUGUUGCAGGGGAAGAUAAUGACGGUACCCUGUGAGGAAGCCCCGGCUAACUACGUGCCAGCAGCCGCGGUAAUACGUAGGGGGCUAGCGUUAUCCGGAUUUACUGGGUGUAAAGGGAGCGCAGACGGUUUUGCAAGUCUGAAGUGAAAGCCCGAGGCUUAACCUCGGAGUUGCUUUGGAAACUGUAUAACUAGAGUAUCGGAGAGGUAAGUGGAAUUCCUAGUGUAGCGGUGAAAUGCGUAGAUAUUAGGAGGAACACCGGUGGCGAAGGCGGCUUACUGGACGAAAACUGACGUUGAGGCUCGAAGGCGUGGGGAGCAAACAGG